UACGAAGGGGGCUAGCGUUGCUCGGAAUCACUGGGCGUAAAGGGUGCGUAGGCGGGUCUUUAAGUCAGGGGUGAAAUCCUGGAGCUCAACUCCAGAACUGCCUUUGAUACUGAGGAUCUUGAGUUCGGGAGAGGUGAGUGGAACUGCGAGUGUAGAGGUGAAAUUCGUAGAUAUUCGCAAGAACACCAGUGGCGAAGGCGGCUCACUGGCCCGAUACUGACGCUGAGGUGCGAAAGCGUGGGGGAGCAAACAGG
RNAcentral lists this ribosomal RNA (254 nucleotides) under uncultured bacterium. RNAcentral describes it as "partial 16S ribosomal RNA". It matches the Rfam family "Bacterial small subunit ribosomal RNA", at positions 524 to 776 of the family's 1533-position model. The record is from RNAcentral.